RNAcentral lists this ribosomal RNA (494 nucleotides) under uncultured bacterium. RNAcentral describes it as "partial 16S ribosomal RNA". It matches the Rfam family "Bacterial small subunit ribosomal RNA", at positions 28 to 507 of the family's 1533-position model. The record is from RNAcentral.
GACGAACGCUGGCGGCGUGCUUAACACAUGCAAGUCGAACGGUGAAGCGCCUUCCUUUUUGGUGGGUGUGGAUGAGUGGCGGACGGGUGAGUAACACGUGAGUAACCUGCCCCCUUCUUCUGGAUAACCGCAUGAAAGUGUGGCUAAUACGGGAUAUUCUGGGUCUGUCGCAUGAUGGGUCUGGGAAAGAUAUUGUUUCGGUGGGGGAUGGGCUCGCGGCCUAUCAGCUUGUUGGUGGGGUGAGGGCCUACCAAGGCGGUGACGGGUAGCCGGCCUGAGAGGGUGGACGGUCACACUGGGAAGGAGGCCCGGCCAAGCCUCCUACGGGAGGCAGCAGUGAGGAAUAUUGCACGAUGGGCGGAAGCCUGAUGCAGCGACGCCGCGAGAGGGAUGGAGGCCUUCGGGUUGUGAACCUCUUUCGCCAGUGAAGCAGGCCUGCCUCGUUUGUGGGUGGGUUGACGGUAGCUGGAGAAGAAGCGCCGGCUAACUACGUG